This 172-nucleotide long non-coding RNA is filed under the name Anolis carolinensis (green anole). Its description in RNAcentral is "lncRNA (ENSACAG00000033762.2)". Lineage: Eukaryota; Metazoa; Chordata; Lepidosauria; Squamata; Anolidae. The record is from RNAcentral.
ACCCAGAAGACAGGAUUUGAAUUCAAAAUAACCUUACCAAAUUGGAGAGCUGGGCCAAAACUAACAAGAUGAAUUUCAACAAGAAAAAAUGUAGGAUACUACACUUUUCGACUGCAUCAAAAGGCAUAUAUUGCCUAGAAAGGUCAAGGCAAAAAGACUCCACCAUCUGAUG